RNAcentral lists this ribosomal RNA (443 nucleotides) under uncultured bacterium. RNAcentral's name for it is "partial 16S ribosomal RNA". It matches the Rfam family "Bacterial small subunit ribosomal RNA", at positions 338 to 795 of the family's 1533-position model. The record is from RNAcentral.
CCUACGGGUGGCUGCAGUGGGGGAUAUUGGACAAUGGGGGGAAGCCUGAUCCAGCGACGCCGCGUGAGUGAAGAAGUAUCUCGGUAUGUAAAGCUCUGUUAGCAGGGAAGAAAGAAAUGAUGGUACCUGACCAAGAAGCCCCGGCUAACUACGUGCCAGCAGCAGCGGUAAUACGUAGGGGGCAAGCGUUAUCCGGAAUUACUGGGUGUAAAGGGAGCGUAGACGGUUAAGUAAGUCGGGAGUGAAAUGCCGGGGCCCAACCCCGGGACUGCUUUGGCAACUAUUGAACUAGAGUGCAGGAGAGGUAAGCGGAAUGCGUGGUGUAGCGGUGAAAUGCGUAGAUAUCAGGAGGAACACCAGUGGCGAAGGCGGCUUACUGGAGUGCAACUGACGCUGAGGCUCGAAAGCGUGGGUAGCAAACAGGAUUAGAUACCCUAGUAGUC